This 482-nucleotide ribosomal RNA is filed under the name uncultured bacterium. RNAcentral describes it as "partial 16S ribosomal RNA". It matches the Rfam family "Bacterial small subunit ribosomal RNA", at positions 30 to 507 of the family's 1533-position model. The record is from RNAcentral.
AUUGAACGCUGGCGGCGUGCCUUACACAUGCAAGUCGAACGGUAACGGGCCUUCGGGUGCCGACGAGUGGCGAACGGGUGAGUAAUACAUCGGAACGUGCCCGAUCGUGGGGGGUAACGAGGCGAAAGCUUUGCUAAUACCGCAUACGAUCUACGUGUGACAGCAGGGGACCGCAAGGCCUUGCGCGGACGGAGCGGGCGAUGGCGGAUUAGGUAGUGGGUGGGAUAAAAGCUUACCAAGCCGCCGAUCUGUAGCUGGUCUGUGAGGAGGAUCAUCCACACUGGGACUGAGACACGGCCCAGACUCCUACGGGAGGCAGCAGUGGGGAAUGUUGGACAAAGGGCGCAAGCCUGAUCCAGCCAUGCCGCGUGCAGGAUGAAGGCCUUCGGGUUGUAAACUGCUUUUGUACGGAACGAAAAGCCUUCUUUUAAUACAGGAGGGUCAUGACGGUACCGGAAGAAUAAGCACCGGCUAACUACGUG